UGGGCCAUCUUUGGAAAAUUUCAUAGUGAUUCGUUCAUUCAAUUUUAACUUUCAGUGGUGCAAUGAUGUGCGACUUGUCUUAUAUUCAACCUAAAAGAAAUAAAAUCUUCACAGGAUGACCUGAAAACAAACUUGAAUAGAAUUAUCCAAGAAGUGGAUUUUUCUGAGAUGCAUGUUGACGUAAAAAAGUUGUGGAUCAGACUAGACGUUCGCAAAAAGAUGCACUGAUCUAACCACGUGGCUGCAUUCAAAGAUGGCGUAAACGAUGUGUUAAGACAGAUGACAACGAGGACAGCAUUCCCAUGGCAGUCAGUUCCAAGUUACCGGAAUGACUCGGGUUUUUCCCGCCCCAGUAAACUAGCCCUGU
Anastrepha obliqua is the source of this 367-nucleotide long non-coding RNA. RefSeq lists it as uncharacterized. NCBI's taxonomy places the organism in Eukaryota, Metazoa, Arthropoda, Insecta, Diptera, Tephritidae. The record is from RefSeq and is a predicted model, not a curated record. The transcript is spliced from 4 exons.